GUAAUCUAAGCCUUCUGAACUUAUUCUAAUUAGGUAUCUUCACCACAAAUGAUCUUUUCGUCAUACCUUAGGUGUCGAGCUUUCAGAAUGAGUCUUCGUUCUCCAAUUUGACUAACUUCUGCGAUCAACUCUUCAAGACUCCAAACAACUUUACGAAAUUCGCCAACCUAUAAAAUCCUUAACAUUAUUAAAAGUAUGUAUUCAGUAUGCAAUCACGAGAUGCACGAAUAUUCAUGUUAAAGUAGUUCUGACUACCUGAUUCGAUUUAAGCAAGAAAAAAAUGCAAGAUAAUUAGGACCGUACAUCUCAAAGCGGGUGAAAAUUAGGAGGAAUUCUAUACUAUCACACUUGCACCGCGUCAUCAAUAACAUGUCAAUCACCUUUCUUCUUUUCAAACAAAAGUACAAUAAAAAUACUUUUUUAUAAUCAUGAUGGGACAUGUAUCUUUAAAAGGAGAUUUUUGAUUGGCAUUUUACACUGCGUCACCAAUAUACCUGUUGUAUUCUGGAAUUUUUCGAAAAUUAGACACCCGGGAGGGAUAUAUUGUGUAUAUCAUACAAAGUAAUUACUCUGAGCCAAUGAUUACACUCUUCGUGUUCGACAUCCGACGGUCAUGAUUGACUCCGUACGGUACGUACACCUAACAUCCAGUCAACGACAGGCCAGCUUAGUCUUCGCCUUGACCGAGUCUCGGGCCAAAGAUACAGCCACGACCCACAACGCACUAACACGUUGGCCUAAAAUUACGGCCCAAAUAUACGGCCCACGAAUCACGGUCGCUUUACGCUCCGUCCCCUCCGCUCCUACUUGGUACGCCUCCUUCUGCAGCCCCCUAUUCGCCUCUCGAUUUCGAUCCCUGCGAUCGAACUCGAAGGCGAAGCGAAAGCGGAGAAUCGAAGGAUCACCACCAAUGGCGAUGGCGCGUCUUCUUCUUCGUAAAACCCUCUUCGCCUCCUCCUCCUCCUCCUCCUCCUCUUCCGCCGUAGCUCCUCGUCUUCAUGGUGCGAGUCGUGCUCCCUCUACUUCUCGCUAGCAUUUAGCUGGAUUUUUGUUAACUUUUGUUAAAGAUUACUUUUUGCUGUAUCAAACGGAGUCGUUAAGCAGAUUUUUCUUUUCUUUUUUUUUUUCUGGUAGAUUUAUUUGCACUUAAUUGUUCUCUGAUCGUAUGGAUAAAUGAGCUACUUUGUUUCGCAAGGCUCAAUCGUCAUGCGAUCUUAUUUUGAUGACCUGCCCCUUUUUUUCUUUAAUAACCAUGAGUAUGGAUUGCAGCUAUGAUGUUGUAUAUUUCUACUCGUUGCAAUUCAAUGAUGAAAUUGUUCGGUAAACUUGUGGCUCUUUAAUUUUAUAUCUGCUUGGUAGAUUUUGGAUUGCUGAAUUUGCUAUCAGCUACUUUACAAGCGCUAAGAACGGUUUCUUCAGUCACCCUAGUUCAUUCUUCUAGGUCAUUUCCUUGUUUCGUGUUGACGUGAUUUUCGUGCAAUGUUCGUUCCAAAUUUUCGGCACAACUAGCAUUACCAGUGCACGUUCCCACAGGGCGCAUGAGGAGAUACGCAAAGAUGAUUUUAGAUAUCAGGUGUUUUGAUUGAAGCUUUCCUUCUAGUAUGAUAUAUUUAUUCUAUGCAGAUAUCAUGAGUUGCUCGGUGGCGAUAAAUACGGAUCUCAACUGUUUGUUGCAUGCUUGGUGCAACUUAAGAUUUUUGUGUAGCUACCACAGCUCAGCAAAGUUUGAUUUGACUGAUUUGACGUAAGAACACACCUAAUUAUUGAUCAACGUUUUAAGGCUCAAUUGAUAACGAUUGAAGCUUAUGAUACUAUUUGUUGCCCUGCUUUCAUAACAGUCGUCCUCACACUUGGUAUCCAAAUGCUCGAAGAAAGAAGCGCAAUGUAUUUUUACAUGUGGGUCCAACUAACAGUGGGAAAACUUAUAAUGCUCUAAAGAGACUAGAGUCAAGCUCCUCAGGUACUGUAAUGUUAAUCUACUAGUACACAUCACUCUCUUUCUAUGAUACAAUAAAUAUGUUAACUAUUAUCACUCAUUGAAGGAUUAUAUUGUGGACCUCUAAGAUUGCUUGCAUGGGAGGUGGCACAAAGAUUUAACAAAGCAAAGGUGCCCUGUAACUUGAUCACUGGACAAGAGCGAGAGGAGAUUGAUGGUGCGAAGCACAGUUCCAUAACAGUUGAAAUGGCUGAUGUGACGAGUGUACCAGUGUGCAAUUAUUGAUGAAAUCCAGGUAUGUUGCAGUAAAUCCUUUAAGAUCUGUACAUCUUUUGCGGAUAUAGAAGCUAGGCUGGUAAAAAAAAAAACUAUUAAGCAGUGCUCAGACUAGUUUAUGUUAGCUAUAUAUUUGUCUUGUCAGACAAUUUUCUUUCUUUUCUUUUGUAUUCUCUUAUCUUUCAAUUUUAUUUUGUUUUAUUAGAUGGUUGGUUGUAGAACGAGGGGUUUUUCAUUCACACGCGCAUUGCUAGGGAUUUGUUCUGAUGAACUUCAUGUGUGUGGCGAUCCAGCUGCCGUUCCUCUUAUCCAGAGAAUACUUGAAGUAACUGGUGACGUGGUUAAGGUUGUUUAAGAGUCAAAAGUCAAAUUUUUAACAUCAGUGGAUAAUCAUCUCUUUAUGAUUUUUUUCUGCAUAUGAGAGAGCAUAUGCUUCAGGUUAAUUGCCAAUUCUUUUUUCUUUUACGUUCAUAAGGUCAGAGUGUUUUAUCUAUGCAUUUGGACUUCAAGAAUCUUCACCUUUACUUUUUGUAAUAAAAUAUGGCAUACAUUUUGCUCUAGUUCCCCUAAAAGUUAUCCCUUAACAAUUCCACCUCUUCUUGAAAUAGAUUUUAAAAAUUUUCAUCCUUUUUUCAAGGUUCUUAGCUUACACAAACAUUUUCUCUAGCUGUCUCUUAUGCUUAGGGAUUUUAUAUUCCAGCUCUUAAAAUCACUUUUUUUUUCUUCUUUUUUUUGUGUGUUUUCUUGGUUGAAACGAGCUAAAUCUAACUCAACCACUUCUAGGAGUUGCUACCUGUUCAUAUUUUUUCGGGAAAACUUCAAAAAACCCCCCUGUGGUUUCGCACUUUCUCACUUUAAUACCCUGUGGUUUAAAACGUAUCAAUUUGCCCCCCCCUGUGGUUUCGUUUUUCUCUUUUUGUUAUCAAUUUUAUUAUUAUUUUUUUCUUAAAUCAAUGACAAAGUUAAAAUUAAAGGAUACUAAAGUGAAUAGUCGAUAAACAUAGAUGGUUAUCUGAAGUUUUUUGUAUAUAAUUUAACGAAAUAUUAACGAAAAAGAAAGCUUCCGAAAAGAUAAAAACGAAACCACAAGGGGGCAAAUUGAUACGUUUUAAACCACAGGGUACUAAAGUGAGAAUGCACGAAACCACAGGGGGGGGGGGUUUGAAGUUUUCCCUUUUUUUUUUUUGAAAGUGUGGAGUCGCUUGUCAUAUAAUGAUACAAAAAUGCCAAAUUUUCUUUUAUUUCUGUUUCAAAUUGUAAUUAACAUGCCCAUUGCAUGCUAUUACUCAGGUUCAAUAUUAUGAAAGACUCUCCCCUCUGGUUCCUUUAAAGUUUCCACUUGGAUCGUUCUCCAACAUCAAGACUAGAGAUUGUAUCGUAACAUUCUCUCGACUUGAGAUAUAUAAGUUAAAGGUCAGUACUGGGUGUUUAGAUAUUUCUGCUAUUUAUGCUAUUAUUGUUGUUUUGUUACAUUCAACACACCCGUUUCACUAUUACCUUUUAUUUAAGUUGUUAGGGUAACACGGCUAGAUGGUUGAAGUAACAAUAUUAGUUGAUGCCUAGAUAUUCAAUUGGGAUCCCGGAUAUAACAAUUUAUGACAUAUCCAGUUUUGCAAAGUGAAAAAUGUAAAGAUACUUAGUUGUAAUAUUUCUUGGAAGUCUUCAAAAGACGCAGCUAAGGGAUAGAAAAGGAGUUUAUAGAGGCUUGAGAACUAACCGGGACUCUAACGUUUGAAUAAAAGAGGCACCAUUGCUCGUGCCUGAUUGGCAUAUGAUGCUCGGGAUACUUUUUGGGCCUCUUGUUUUUGGGUGAGGGGUUGUGAUUACAUAAAGAAAUGAUGGACCUAUCAGGAAAAGCUGAACAUAGUCGGCUUGUUUAGUAUGACAAAUAUUUAUCACAUGUUGAAGAUUGUGAAGAAAAGUUGUUAUCCAUCAGUCCAAGUGCUUUACUCCUUUGUCUUCACAUGAGGCAUGUAUAAUUGUAUAUCAAAACUUUGAACAUGGAAACUUACCUUUUUCAAUUUUAAAUUAGCUAUGACGUAAUUAUUUUCCACCUUGUGCUGUACAGAAAAAAAUUGAAAAUGACCGAAAACAUCUUUGUGCUGUAGUCUAUGGCUCACUGCCCCAGAGACUCGAACAAAGCAGGUACUUCCUUAUUAGAAAGAAUUUCCCUAUUGUUACCUAUCUUUCAGACCUCUUAAAUUAUUCACAAUUGUUGUUCUAUUACAUGUGCUCAAAAUAUUUUUAUUUAGUCAUUACGAUUUACAUGAUUAGCAAUGGGAUAGCUGAGUGAAUUUGAUCUUUAAGCUUGCAGGCAACAAUGUUCAAUGAUGAAAGCAGUGAAUUUGAUGUUCUAGUAGCCAGCGAUGCCAUCGGAAUGGGUCUUAAUCUGAACAUCUCUGGAAUCAUUUUUUCAACUCUGAAAAAGUUUGAUGGUGUGUAUACUCGGGAACUCAGUGUCCCUGAAAUCAAACAAAUUGCAGGUACUAUUUUCUCCAAAAUGUUGAAGUUUUUUAGUUUUUGAUUGACACAACCUCAACUUCCAUUUGUUUUCUAUUUGAGUUAUUUCUGCCUAUUAAAUUAGUAAUUUGUUAUCAUUAAUGGCUCCAGUGAGUCUCUAUACUUUUUUUAUGGCUUAGUUUACUUUAGCUUAUAGUAUUUUUCAUGAAUUAACUUCAUGGCUACAUCAUCAAUUACUUAGCAUCCUAUUGCUACAGGAAGAGCUGGAAGAUAUGGAUCAAAAUAUCCUGUUGGGGAGGUGACCCGCGUAGAUGCUGAUGACCUGCCUUUGCUACAUUCCUCUCUUGCAUCUCCUUCCCCUGUUUUGGAGGUAAAUGCUUUUUCCUUGCUCAUAAUUAAUUGCAAAUAAAAGAACAUAGCAUCUAAGGCGUAAGUUUAUAGGUCUAUAUUUUCUUUUUACCAUUCGUAAUUCAUAAACAUGUGCAGGUGCAGUACUAUGCAUGCCAUCUUUUUUUUCUUUUUAACAAUUUACAUCAGCAAAAUUAGAAUUCUUACUAAUACAAAGACAGUGACUAUUAAUAACAAUUAACCAAAUACUGCCAAAUUAAUGGAACAAGGGUGGAAUUUCAUCUGCUUUAUUUGAUUAUGUUAGAAACGUAACGUUGCAUCCCUGACGUUUGAAAUUGCUAACUAAUCCUGAUAUCUCUUUCUAUUCAUUCUGCAGCGAGCUGGACUUUUCCCCACCUUAGAUCUUUUGUCCAUGUAUUCACGAAUGCAUGCGACAAAUAAUUUUCAUCCUAUAUUGGUAUGUGGAAAGCUAUAUUAUCAUGUUUUGUUUUUACUCUUUUUCACCUUGCAUAUACUAAGGUUUACAGUGAUGAAUGGACUUUUUUAUAAAAUAACUCUCUAAAAUUUUAUAAUUUGCGAAAUAACACUAUCAAAUUUAUAUUUGGCAAAUUAACCCUCGAAAUGCGAUAAAUCGUUCACCGCAUUCUGAAAGACUCCAAGAUCUUUUAAAGGCGGUGAAUCGUUCACCGCAUUCAUUAAGACGGUUAAUGAUUCACCGCUUUUGUAAGAAAUUAGGAAGGCGGCGAAUCAUUCACUUUCUUUAUGAAGGCGGUGAAUCAUUCACCGUCUUUAAGAGAAAAUCUACUUGCUUCCUACAUAGUAAAAAGAGGGUUAGUUUUUCAAAUAUAAUUUUGGUAGGGUUAUUUUGCAAAUACCAAAAUUUUAGAGGGUUAUUUUGUAAAAAAAUCCGUGAUGAAUUGUCCAGAAGCUGUUGCAGAGCAACAUAUAUUUCAAAUUCGCAGCAAAUUUGGUACCCUUUUUUUUUUUGGGAGAACAGCAAAUUUGCUACUUACUAAAACCUCCGAGGGUUUUCUUUUUAAAUUAUACUGAUCAAGUGACCAUGUUUUCUGGAUGCUGUUACUAAAGGAAUCUAUUAUUUUUCUUCCACAUUUCUGGUUAAUAAAAACUUUCUGAACUUGUUGACUGAAUUUUGGUGUACGUUUCAGAGAAUUUUUAUUACUCAGACCCUAAUGUUUAUAAAGCUAUCCUGAAUUCAUAAGCUGUUAUCAAACUAUGUACACUUCUUUGGCUGGUAUGUUGCAUGAAUUCCCAUCUCCCAGCAUUUAUGGUGUCCGGAUUCAUUCCAAUAAGCAAAUAAAUAAUAUUUAUCAAGUCUCAUAUAUAUCUCAUGCUGAAAAUAUUGCUUUGUGCUGCGGGAAAGGUUCUUGGAGAAGGCAAAGUUGUCUCCAGAUUAUUUUAUUUCUGACUCUGAAGAAAUGCUGGUAGAAGUCCUUCGUAUGCACUCCUUUUUGCUUAUGUGCAAGUUUAGUUUACAACUAUACAUAUCCGAUAUUAGCAGCCAAAUUGACUUUGAAUUCCUCUUUAAUAUUUCGACUUAUUGUAUAUCAGUUAGAUUGGUUUGCACUUCUUGUAAUUGACUUCUUUUGUGGAGUUUUUGUGUAAUUAUUAAUAUUCAAUAAACUGUUGUUUGAUAACAGAAGGUUGCUGCAGUUCUGGAUGACUUGCCUCUUGGAUUAUAUGAUAAAUACCUUUUCUGCCUAAGGUAAGAAUGUACAUUGUGAUACUAGCAAUGACUUACAAUACCCAAUCUAAACACCCCAAUUCUCCAUUUUGUAGUCCAGUGGACAUGAAUGACGAUAUUGCAGCUCAAGGUCUAAUUCAGGUUUAUUUUUUUAUUUUACAAUACCUCUUUAUGGUUUGUUUUUUUGAGAUAAAUUGAAGAAUAGCUUUAUUUUUUUGAGAUAAAUUGAAGAUAAAUACCCAAUCUAAACACUCCAAUUUUUUUAUUUUACAAUAGCUCAAGGUCUAAUUCAGGUUCUCUUGUGAGCUCCUCAAUGAAGGUCUUGGAUCUCUAUGUCUGGUUAAGCUUCCGGAUGGAUGAUUCUUUUCCAGAUCGUGAGUUGGCUGCUUCUCAAAAGUUGAUCUGUAGCUUGUGAGUGUUAAACUAGCUUUCAAAAUAUUUAUUGUGAUGCUUUUUUAGCUCUUUGGAAAUCUAAUUUGUCCUAUUUGUUUGAUCACAGAUUGAUUGAAGAAUUUUUGGAGAGGUUAGGAUGGCAUAGCCAACGAAGACGAAACUAUGACCACAGUCCGCAGCACCUGCAACAGAAAUAUCAAACAACUGAACUGUAUGAUCUUUGCUAAGAAACUCCAUUUGAUUUUAUUUUCUUCUUGCAAGGAUUCUCCAUUUAUAUAUCUUGCUCCUUUAUUUUGUUCUUUUUUUUUUUCCCUUCAAUAAAUAUUACUUUGAAUGCCUUUUCCUUCAUUAUUUUUGCUAGUAAUGAAUUUCACUUUUUACCGUAUUUAUCAUCAUUUUAAUUUUAUGGUGGAAAGUUGAUUUCUCUUAAUUUUUAUUGUUCUGUGGUGAUUACCAGACGCAGAUUCUUUCCAGAUUUAUGAGUGGACUCUCACAAAUACCAACUUUUAAGGUUUUAACUGAAAAAGGAGAGCAUAUCCACCCACCUCUUCUGAUUGUUUAAUAGUUGGCGAGCAAUCCAAACUUCUUCCCCAGUGCUGGAUGUCACUAGGUUGUCUUCUUUGGAGAGAAAAUCAGGAUUUGGGAUAUAUUUGUAACUUUUCUGCAGUGGCUUUUCUUGUUUCUGUUUUUGUUUUUGUUUUUUCUGCGGAAUCAGAGUUAAGUGUAGUUAGUCAUUAAUUGUGCAGUUAAUAGCUGAUAACUUGGCUAGUUGCUAAGUUUCUCUUGAUAAGAUUGAUAUAUUCUCUCUGUUUUCCCUUUCUUCUUCCAGUUGAAGCUUUCUUUGUAAACUAGACAAAUGAACUCAUAGUUUCAACGUUUUGACUCGUAGUGCAUCCUGCCAAAUCUUAUAAAAGUAGUCAGCUAGAUCUGCAUAGAAAUUUUAUGCACAAAAGUUACCUCGUUGAAGUCGGUUCACCCCGCUCAACAUCGAAGCAACACUACAGCACAGGAGGCGACCCAAUUCCAUCUCAGCAACAACACCACACCCAAAUUAGCAAUCGAAAUACUUUUUUUGCAUUUAGACUCCAGGCAAAUUUUUAUUUUAAAAAUAGUCCCGUCAAAAUUUAAUUUACAAAAAUAGUCCUGGGCCUGUAAGUUGAACACGGUGAACCAUUCACCGUGUUCAAACACGGUAAAUGGUUCACCGUGUUUAGUACGUAUUUUUUAUAUAUUGAAAAGAGGAAUAAGGAAUAGGGAUGUCAAUAGGUAUGGAUAUCCGAAAUAUUAUCCGAAUUCAAACCCGAAUGAAUUAUAUAUAUAUAUAUAAUUUAUUUUUAUUUAUUUAUAUAAUAUAUAAAAUAUUUAAUAAUUUUUAUUCCUUAGAUCUUCAUCCAACCCAGUGGGUUUAAAAAUCUAUACCGUUGGAUGAAUAUCUAAGGAAUAAAAAUUAUUAAAUAUUUUAUAUAUUAUAUAAAUAAACAAAAAUAAAUUACGUAUAUAUAUAUAUAAUUUAUUCGGGUUUGGAUUUGGAUAAUAUUUCGGAUAUCCAUACCUAUUGACAUCCCUACUACUUAUUCCACUUUUCAAUAUACAAAAAAUACGUACUAAACACGGUGAACCAUUCACCGUGUUUAGACAUGGUGAACCAUUUACCGUGUUCAACUUAAUACCCUAGCCCCAGCCCUGCCCGCGUGGCACUGACGUGGCGCCUGCAUGGCAGGGACGGCCAUUUUUGCAAUUUUAAUUUUGAUAGGGCUAUUUUUAAAAUAAAAAUUGCUCAGGAGGCUAUUUGCAAAAAAAGCCCUUAAAUGUAUUCACAGAUCAAGUCACAAGUUGCAUAUUGGCCUUGCUUCCCCACAGUGUCACGUCCUGGAUGACUCGUUUCCCCGGGCUCGCUAACAGACCUGCCAUACACAUAGGUAUUUCUCCUGUAUACGAAGCGAAAAGUAGUACCUGUAAUCAUACAAUACUACAAACAGUAGCAUAGAGCAGCUAAGAAAAUAAAUCAAAUAUAUAAACUGUGGUUCAAUACAUACAUGUCAUCCAAGGUAUACAAAUACUCGCACUGGCGAUAAACAACAACUAUAUGUAAAGGCCUAAAAACUACAAUUACCUAUAGCUGGUGCUCCUCCAGCUCUGCGACUCGACUGGAAGGGCUCUAACUCGCGACGCCCUUACCACGAUCAAGAUCAGCAACAGCAGCAGCCGAAGGCAACGGCUCUGCAAAACAGUGGCAAUAACUGGGCGUGAGAACUACUGUAAAAAUAAGUAUUCCUCAGUGGGUACCGCCCUCAAACUCAUCGGUCCACACACUAAGUCUACAGGGGUAAGCAGGAAUAGUAAAGAAAGCUGGAACAAAUCUACAGCUAUAUGCCACUAUACUAUCAUGCUUUAAAUCUAACAAUCUGUAGAACAGUGUCAACUCAGACCCAAUCUCAAAUAAGGACUGUAAUCAUACCCGUCCAACCUGUACGAACGACACCAACGCAAAAGCAUAGCGCCCGUCUCCGGAGUGGCACUCGUGGAAGCUACCCAACCGAGUAUGCAGUGUAUCUCUGUCGAGCUCAAUCAGGCUCUAACAAGCCAAAGUCAAAUAGCUAGGGUCAAAACAGGUCUAGAAGCCAAACCCACGUGCCCUCGGCACAAUCUGAGACCAAAAACAGAAAUCUGGGUCCAUCUCCACCCCGACGGCACCCGACAACCUGAAACAGCCUAGACUCUGCUGUAAAAAUAAGCUCGACAUCUCUGCACGAGCGUAAAUGCAUUCUAAUCUACCCCGGAUAUCCACCGUGCUGAAACAGCGGCGAUACAAACAAAACACGGCUCCUAGAGCUAAAUCAGGUAGUAGAAUCAUAUGACAGGUCGAAUCGCUAGUUUUCUCCUAAGUCAAGUUCCAAGUCCAACAUGUAUAUUCAUCUAAUUAAUAAUCAUACUCCCAAUUCAGAUUUCAUACAUGCUACAAUCAAUGAAUUUGAACUACCACAUGAAAUACAACAACCGAAAUCAUAUAUGUCGACUACACAAGCACUUAGGAGCGAAACCGAUGAAACACCCACCUCAAAAGCUCUUUCCUGGCAGUAAGGAGAUCUCGGAACUGUUGCGAGACUCAGCCGAAAUCACACCAAAACAGCAACUGGAAUACUUGAAGGAUCUAGCGUCGAAAACCACAAAAAUCCAAUAAUUCAGCACUUAAGCUUAAAUUAGCUCAAAUACAAUGCUAAUUUCACUAGAUUAUCUUCAAAUCAGCAGUAGCAAGGUUCCCUCAACAGUGAAUUAGAUGUAGAAAGUUUCUCAGGUUCAAGACUAUCCUUCUCCUAAGAUCUGAACCCAAGAUAAUCAAGUUGCAUCAAUGACAAUGCUAAUUUCAGCACUUAAGCUUAAUUAACCCAACUCCAAUGUCAAAACUCACCUAAUCACAUCCAAAUCUGGUGAGGAAGAUUUCAAAUCCAGUGGAGUAAACUAAGAUAUCUAACUCAGGUCCAAACUUUCCCUACUUCCCAAGAUAGCAUCAAGAAAACCCAAAAAAAAAGAUUUUCAGCUCAAAGUCACCAGCAGUCCAGAAAAAUAUGGAAUCGACCAAGCUAACCUCAAUCAAAAUCUGCAAUUCUGGGCUUCGUGGAUUCCUCCGGAAGUCUAGAAUCCAGCAAACCAAGUUUCACCGCCAUCCGACCUUCCUACGUCGCACACGAACCAAAACACCGAAAGUCGUCGCUGGAAAACUGCAGAAUCAGCACUACAUCACCUUCCAAUUGAAAGAUUGGAUGAAAUCCGAGAAAAAUCGACUGGAGGAGAAAUCAGAGGUGCUACUGUGAAGAGAGAGUGAAAAGAGCUCACCAGGAUCACUCUCCACCUAUUUAUAGAGUGCUGGAAUGGUAGAAUAAGCCCCAAGAACAGCUGCUGCAAUCUGGUGUCCCUACAGACUCGGGCACUUCCGGGCGCCCGGACCCACAUUAUGGGCUCCCAGACCCAUAUUAUGGGCGCCCGAAUCCUCCAGGCUACACAAAGCUUCCUCCUCAGACUCUCUGCCCGCGGUGUGCUGCGCCCGCAUUCGGCUCCGGCAGACCUCACCAACCACCAGCCACGUGUCAGCGCAACGAUACUCACGAGGUAAACUUUCGGACCCUCAUCCGGACGCCCGAAAUAUGGACCCGAAUUGGCUUCCAGUUCUGCUCAGUUCUGCACUCAACUUCUGGGCGACCCAAGGUCAGUCUUGGGCGCCCGAAUCUGGCAAAACUAUAGUUUUGCUUAUUUGAUUGCGCCGAGUCCAUUUCUGCAUCCAUUUCGCGCAGAAUCUAUUUUGACUCAGUCCGACACUCUCUAGAUGUGUCGACCGGUCACUAACACUGAAGCCAAUCCUAUCCAAAGCUCAGAAACACUACACACAGUGCCUCCAUAACAUUUAGUAACUAUCGUAUAAGUAAAUCAUACAAUUUUAGUGUGAUCAAUUGUAUGUCCAGAGAAAAAUAUGUUUAGGAUUUUGUAGUCUUCCUUGAUCUCUCCUGGAUCUUACAAUGUAGGCAUCUAAAUAUGCAUAGAAAAAACAUUUCUAAUCAUUUCUUGAUGCAAAUCAUAAAGAAAUAGUGAUUCUUCCAAAACUCGAUGAACUAAUUGAAAUAUUUCUUUAUGUUACGACAAACUCACAAACGGAAACGAAAUGGAGAACACAAAAUAAAUAAACCACAAGCAGAAAGAAAAACACACAUAUUUACGUGAAAAACCCUUUGCAAGAAAAAACCACGGGCGAGGGAGGAGAGAACUUCACUAUCAAACGAAAAAGGGAAUACAAUGUUUUUAGAUAGUACAACCAACCACGAUCUCACGCCUUUAGGGCAAAAACGAAAAGGAAAACUCAUUAACGGGUUUCGGAUCCGAUCCGUACCGUUCCUUCACAGUUUUAAUUUUUCAAUUUGGUCGGACCGCAAAACUAUCGGCGUGUCGAAAACCCGAACUUAAGUUGAUUAUCAAUUUCGAGUCAUAUCUAACACUUUAAAUAUCACACGAUCUCUACAAAGGACUACAAGGCAAACAACAGACGGUCUCAGUUGCAUAUGCCUAAAAUAAGAUCCGUCAAAUGUUAUAAUUUACAUGCAUGGCAUCUCCAUUUUACUACAGGAAACUGAUAAACCUCCAAUCUGAAUUGUGCACACUUGAAUAUGAUAGCACCUGAACCAGCCAGUAUAAUCCUCGUCAUCUCACUGUGAAAGAGAAAUAUGGAGAAGCACUUUCUUACGUGCAAAAGAAAAAAAAGAUUUAAGAGAAAGAUUAAGUGAUAAUUAGCAUACCUAGAUAUAGCUCGUUUGAUGUGGAUUAUCAAUUAUUCAAGGGUUUCUUCAUAAAUAGACAGUUCUAUCCAUCUGCUUUCUAAAACAGAAAGAAUCCAUAAUUAGCCACUCGAUCAAAAGUUCAUAACAGAGGAAUUAUAUAAUUCGGAAUCCAUCAAAUGCUAGGAAACCAUAAAUGCAACGGCCACCUUUAAUCUUAGAGACAACAAGUGUGAAGCAACCUUGGUGGAAGCAUGAGAAAAGAUGGGACGAGGUAAUUCCCAAAACAAAUAAAUGUAUGUUAAAGUAUAUACCAACCACCAGUCCACCGCUAGCUGGGUGGUACCCAGCUGGGACCACGAGGCCCUAUGUUAACAUGGGAUUAUGGAGUGGGUUAUCUACAUGCUGUUUCAUAAAUAUAAUUGUAUGUAUAAAAUAAAAUAUUAUACACCGUUCCUGAAAAUUAUGGUUCAACUAAGUUAUCUAUACGGGUAUGGUUAGCACUACACGGUCAGCUAAGUUUGAAAAGCAGAAGAGAAACCAUAAUAAGAUAUAGCCUGAGCUGGAAAGCAGAAGAGGAACCGUGUUAAGAUACAGAGCAGUAUAGAGAAGUAAAUGUACACACGCUGAACUCCUUCAAUUCGGUAUCAACGGUGACACCAAAAAGAAGAAACAAGAUAAACAGAUACUGGAGAAACAAUCAAAAAUAGGAAAAAAUAUAUAUAUAUUAAAGGAAUACCUUGAUCCUCUCAGCCAUAAUUUUAGCAAAUGAUAGCAGCUCGCUUUUAAGCACCUUACAAUUUUCGUCACAUAGAUUUUUGUACCUAGUUCUCAAAUCUGGAAAUAAACAAUGUCAUAUAUGUGAGAGUUGCCAAAACAAUAUGUUGCAGAUAAUCAAGCAACCCAACAGGAAAAAUCGGCCAAAAGCAAAACGAAAAUUCCUAAAGAAGUUCGACGAACAGGUAGGGUUCAAGCCAAAUCCCCUAUCCAGUUGGAUGGUUGUUUUCAAAAAAAGAGGGGAAAAAUUUUAAUUUAGUUGCAAAAGGAAAUUUCUUAGACAUCAGAGCUACAAAAAUAGUAAUCUGAAUAUGAUGAUUCCUUUCUCCACCCUAUCAAAACUUAGUACUUUCAAUUGAUGACAUUACACAACAACUAUAUCCUAAGGAUACAUAGAGGAUUAAAACUUGCCAAUAGUAGAUCUGAAUUCAAACUUAGCAUUUUGGAACAUUGUAAGAGGCAUAAAUUACCUUCACAUGAUUCAAUAUACGUUUUCAAGCAAUCCUCAACCGACUGAUCAACUAUAGAGGGAUCAUCUGCAUUGCCGAAUAGAUUAGUAAUUUUGUCCUUACUUUCAGAAGAUGUCCUCAAGUGCAGUUCAUACAAUAAAUCCCGGCAAAUAGGCUCCACGUGCUACAAAAACAGAAUUGAUAAACCAGAAGUUUUUCUCUUUAUAUAUUGACCAUCGACAUUUAUCUCACUUGGAUACAGCACGGAGGAAAAAAAGAAAAGACUAAUCACAAAUUUAUAAAUAAACAAAAUUAGGGCAUAUAUGUGAAAGAAUGAGAGUGUAACUAAUUAAAAGAAUGAAAAACAUCAGAAAACUUGGGUGGGGGGGCAGAAAUGUGACGCUUUUCCCACCAUGUCUUCCUUUUAGAAAUUAAUUAUAGAUUAGAGAUAGUGAGUUACAAAUUGUAAAAAAUGGUAUAUAAGUAAUUAAAUAAUUUUAAAGGGUAUGCAUGUAAAAGGAUGAGAAUAAAGUGAUUAAAAAAGGAGCAAACAAACUUGGGGAAAGCAAAAAGAAGAUGGUGGCGAAAUUGCGGCAAUGCAACAAGCAUGUCACUAAGUCUUCUUCUUUAUAAUAAUUGUUAAAAAUAUGUAGGUUAUAAAAUUAGAGAUUACGAAGAAUAUAGAUCAUGAUUGUAUUUUCCACUAAUCUUUUUAAGUGUUUAGCCAGCAGUAGAACUAAGAGAAACCUUCUCAUGAAUGUAUGGAAACAAAAGAUACUUAAUAUGUAAGAGUAAAGAAAGAAGGUCCCGUACAUGCAAUACUUCAUUCUCUAGUUCUUGGCGUUUUGCAGCCCUUUCUUUUGCUUCAUACAAUUCCGUUUCUGUGUCAAAGCUGCAGAAAAUGAAAAGCAAAAAUGUAAAGAAGUGUAGAGAAAGUUGACAUAUAUCACAUUUGGAGCACAUUUGGGGAACAAUGAAAAGCUGUGAUCUCAAAUUUUGUCUUUUACCUACUUUGCACCGAGUACAUACUGUUACAGAAAUCUCAAAAUCCAAAUGUAGCUACUCAAAUGCGUGCAUGGAAUGCUCUUUGGAAACUUCCUCUGUAUUGUUUAUGUGUUUGAACAUAUCCAUUAAACUCCGAUAGCAACAAAAUCGUGGUAAGGAACUUAAUGCCCGGACUAUUAGUGCAUAUGCAAUAUUACCAUGCUUUCUUAGGCAAGCUACUGCUAUGGUUUACAGAAAACUGAAGCAAUGGAAUGGCCAAAUAAAGAAAUAAAGAAAUCUCCAUAUUUAUUAUUCAAGAUGGAGAUAUGCAGCCAUCCAUAGGCUAGUAGUCCAGGAAAAUUUUAGUGAUCUUCCAUCCUAACAUAAGUUAAAAUGAAUGAGAAGAAAGACCACUGAAAUAUACUAAAAAAGUACUAAAGGAACACAAGCUAAAGAUGACAAACUAAGAUACUAGAAGAAUUAUUUGAACCUCUGCAGGAUAGCUAGGAAUUAAAUACAGCAUCGCAGACAUGAACCAUGCAAGAUACCAAUUUUCUUCAGCAUAACAGGCAUAUAUUAGGAAAACAGUAAAAUUGGGAAGAUGCAAAAGAAUAAUGCAAAUAUUAACAAGACUCCCUAAGUCCUAACAGUUAAGUGAACUUUUAAAGGACUGUAGCAUUGUUUCUUACUAUUCCUGCUAAGCAGCUAUGCACUAUAAAGUAUCAUUUUAUUUGCAGGGGACUAUCAGUAGUUAAAUCGUAUAUUAGAAUUAAAGUGGUCUUUGAAAAGCUAGGCACAUUUUGCAUGUGUUUAAGGAAUCUCGAAGAGUUCUAUAAAAGAAUACAAUUCGAUACAAGUUUUAAUACAAGAAAAGAGUGCAAAUGCAAAUUGUAAAUAAGGCCACACAGCCCCAUCAUGAUUCCAACACAGAUAAAUUCUAUUGGAGAGAAGAUAGGCAGACUGUUUUUACUGAGUCAAGAGCGACUUUAGAAGGGCCCCCAAUUUCUCGCUGAAUUCUUUUGGAGAACUUCGCGCACCUUUCUUUAAUGACAAAUAAUCCUAAGAAAAUCAUAGAAAAACAAAAGUGGUAAAUGAGCUUGAAAGGCGGGACUUAAAAUGGGAAGCACAUUUGAGAAAUACAAUACCUCAUUAGACUCUAAAGAAUUGAUACUCUCCUUGACAACCUUUUCACAGAAAAAGCUCGAUACCAUCACCUACAUGUGUAUUAGAUGAAUGUAAAUCAUAAGAAAAACAAUUUUAUUGCGUGAGAAAACAUCCGAUAUGCAGUCGUUUGAAUUACCCUGUGAGCAGGAAGGUCAAGUCUCUUGUUUUGUCGGAUAGCUUCCCAUAUCCCUUUUGCACUAAAUGAAAAAUCAGAAGCUGAUACCUUAUCUUGCCGGAACCCCACAAGAGAAUUUGUAGCAAACCAUUCUCUCAACUUCGCGACCUGAAAAUAAAGAAUGUGAUGAUAGUUUUGAUAAACGCUUCUAGAGCUUGAUUAAAAAAUUAUCUAAAAGCCACUAUUUUAUGAUGCAGUUGUUUCUCAUAAAUCUUUGCCAAUCUUAACAUACACUCAAAAACUAAUUUAUAUGCAGAUAUAAUGCCCACAAUUCAGGGGGCAGAUAUGAAGCGUCAUGCAUGACAAAUACAACAAAUGGAGCCUUAGAGGAAAAGUCUUAAUAAACCAUCAUUUUCAUGUUAGGAUAUCCUGAGAAACUAAAACAGAGAAAACUUCAUGCAAAUUCGAGUAUAAGUAGAGUGAAAGCUUCAUUGGUACCAAAGUAGGUUCCUAAGGCCGCUAUCUAGCCUUCAAACAUGACUUUUGAAGCUUGCUUUGACAGGUCCGGACUCAGCUCCAUUUUACUUCCUUUCUUUCUAGUCAGAGUCAUGGCCUUUCCAUAAAAUGGGUCCGAGGGAAGGUAACAGGUCUGUCUGUUGGAGGUAGAGGUAUGGGUCAAUGAAGAGCUUUAGAACUUGUCUACUGAAGGUCAAAAGACCACUACUGAAGGUCAAAAGGCCACUACUGUUCAACCUACUCUCUACAAUACCAAUCGCCGAUGGAGAACAUCUAGGCUUCGCCGCUUGAGAACACCCGCGGAUAGCAACCGAGGGGAGAGACCGAAUGGUCCCCCCUCGUAUAGGCCUCGCCGAUUGAGAGGAAUCAGUCCCGUCAGGGUAUGGGAUUGCACGAGUUAUGGAUGUGUCGUACUUGAAUUCAUCUCUUGUGAAGUUGUCUCUGCUCUAGCCGCAAAGCCUCCCCUUAAGGCCUGCCUCGGCCUCAGCCUCACCUACUCCAGUAGAGUAAGAAGCGAAAGGGAAUCGAAGAGCCAGAGUCAUUCUGGAAGUCGAUGCUCCGAGUAGUGAAGGUAAAAUCACUGUUCCUUUCAUAAGUCAUUUCCAUCUCUAUCUCUUUUUCCGAGCUCUCUACUUCGUAGUACUAGGUGAAAAGUCAUAAAGUUUGAAAGAACCCAGCGUGACCGAUGCUUUAUUAGCUAUUAAGCUAUCCAUAAAUCGAAAACUAAUAUAAUUAGGAUUGGGAUCGGGUGAGCAGCCAAGAAAUUGGCAAGAGCCUGCCCUUUUACUUCUUUUUGUAGGACGUAAGUGAUUUAUUAAAGUAUGUCGUUCACGGUACAUAUCAUAUUCAGCCAGAGCCGCUCCCGUAUAAGGAGCGAGGUAUUGGUUUGUAGCAGGUGAAUCCGCCGUUUCAGCUACGACAAUAGUGUAUUCCAGGAGCCGGGUUCAACAUCAAGAGCAAAUGCAGAUCCAGUGACUCGCCGAUUGAGAGGAAUCAGUCCCAUCAAGGUAUGGGAUUGCACGAGUUAUGGAUGUGAGGACCAUUCUUAACAAGUGCGGGCCGUUCACAUGAAAGAAAAGAAGAAAUCCUUUCUUCACGGUCGGGCGCAUUUCUCAAAAUCCUCCAGGAUCACAAAUGGAACGCUAAGCAAGGGUGGGGAGGCUGCGAGCUCCGCGUUGAACAGAAAGAAGCAAGCAUGCAUGAAGCAACCUAUACUGUGGCUCCAUACCCAGAGGGAAUGGAGCAGGAAAGGUUGCUUCCCCAACGGCCAUGUAGGGGGAUACGUGGCCUAUUCCCAGAGGUAGGUUCAAGUUCAGUUUUGAACCUACCUAAGGCCCUAAGACCCUUUCUUUUAUUCUUCAUAGCAGUAAAAAGUAUAUAUCUAUUCUCCGUACCAGUCUAUCUAUGGACCUUAGCAGAAGCGAGAUAACUGCCAUUGGCGGGCCUGGUCAAUCAUUUUGUCUUAGCUCCAUACAAAUUUAUGCCGUAUGGAGCCAUCGUCGCUUUCGACCCUUCUCUUUUUCCAAAAAAGGAUUCUUUUCAUUUUGGGUAUGAUGGACAUGGACUCCGUAAUUACUGUGGCUCCAUACCCAGAGGGAAUGGAGCAGGAAAGGUUGCUUCCCCAACAGCCACGUAGGGGGAUACGUGGCCUAUUCCCAGAGGUAGGUUCAAGUUCAGUUUUGAACCUACCUAAGGAGCUUAUCGCGUGCAAGCACACACCCAUGCGCUUACACGCUUUAAGCUCACUGCAAGGAAGAUUGGGGGAGCAAUCUUCCCUGCCUAUUCUCCUUGGGGAGGAGAACAGGCAGGAAAGAUUGCCCCCCCUUUAUGCGCGCAUACGGGUAAUUCUCCCCAGAGAAUUACCUAUGCGCAUGUGUGUGAGUAGGUAAUUCUCCGUAAAAGAAUUGGUGUAUUCCUUUUUUAAAAAACUCCAAGUAGAUGGUGAAUAAGAUUUCCUCAUAAGAUCGAAGGCUUCUUUCAGAUUCACGCGUGCUAGUAUUCCAGGCAUAAGAAGACCUACUUUUUCUAAAGUAGGACGAUUCUUCUUAAUGAACUCCAAUACUUUUUUAUUUAUCUGAAAUCCUUGGUUCUGAAGCCCAUUCAAUAUGGAGCACAUUUCCUUAUACUUAUCAUAGCAUCUAAAAAGAAUAUGGCAAACAUGACACAUGUAAAGAGAAGACAAGGAACGUCUAGGAGUCUCGAUUCCCAAGGCAAAUUGACGAAGAAUUAAGGUUUAACUCCACAAUACCCAUCAGUUUUAGUUAUAAAUGGAGUUUAGUCAUUCGGAAGGCUGCUGGUGGAGUAGUACUUAAAAGGAGAAUAUUACUACUAUUGAAAAAGCAUCUCUCCUAGCAAUAUGCACCAGAUGAUAGGAUAUUGGCAUGACAAUGAUGACAUACUACUACAAUUUAUGUAUGAUAGUAGAAGGACAAAAAAUAAUACUCUACUUACUCUUUUCAUGACAUGUUAUCCAUAAACGGACAGCUUCUAUAGACAACAACUCCAAGCCCCAUUUUCAAGCUAUGAAUUCUUAUGAGUUAAAUCUUCCAAAUCUAAUGAACAUUUACCAAGUUCUUGAGAAAUCAUAAUUUGAUUGGAACUGUUUUUCAUACAAAAGUCGGAUUCAGAAAUAUGGUACACAAAGCUUUACAACAAUAACUGAAAACCAGCUUACUACCAUUGCAGGACAACAGUUCCUUAUCACCUUAUAGUAAGUUCCUCGUUAAAUCAUCUAGGGGGUAUUUUAUUACAUUUGUGAGGGUUGAAGUCAUACGUUAAGAUGUCAAGUACUAUACAAUAGACCAGAUUGUCUAAUAACCCAGGCUACAAAUAGAAAAAAGAAAAAAAAAAAGGCACGUUUUUGCUACUAAGCGCUAACUACAUACCUCUCUUUUGAACUUCUGUUCUUGAAUUUUGUCAGGCAAUGCUACUACAAACACCUUCACAUCAAUGUACAUGUCAAAACAUUAAGUGAAAAUUGAGGAGAAAAAAGAGAAAAGAAAACAAGAAUAAUAAGAAUUUAGCAAAAAGUAUAGAAGCAUAAUGCUAACGAACCUCAAUAUAGUCACGGAAUAACACUCUUGGCCUACCAGGUUGGUAAUGUAUGGACUUCCAUAAUUUAGUUCCCGAAGCUUGACCAAACUUCCAUUUCAGUGCCAAAUGUCAGUUUCAAUCCUCAAGUUUGAUCUCUAUUAAAAUCCAUCUCCAAUCAAUUUUACCCUUGUUCUCAAAGUCUUAAUUUUAUCUAAGUCUCACAACAGUGCUAAAUUUUACAGACCAAAUUGUUAUAAUUGAAUCUGUACGAACAAAAUUUAACAUUUAAGUUUCGCAUAUUAACUCUAGUUGUUGAUGAUUAUUAGGCAGUCGCCGUAGAGUUAAAUCCCGUCCUUGCCCUUACAUGUGAAAUGAGUAAACUUAAAGAAUGUUCUGCACCGUAAAUUAACCAAACAGAGGAUUUUUCACCAAUAAUCCAUGCAAGAACACACUCCCUCUCUGAAAUGAUGGAAUCUAUUGUUAUCUCUAAUUGUAAUUUCUCGUUCAUAGACCGCAGAUACAACCUUCAUGAACGAGUGACAAUCAACACAAAUCCUCAGGUUCUUCACGAUGCGAAUAGGUAACCCGCGACUUGUGCUGAUAAGCCCGAAUGCUACAGCUAUCCUCUCGCUGUGCAGACUCAGAAGAUCUUCCUUCUCCUCUUCUUCCACGUUGAGCAUGACAUUAGCCAGAUCGCGCGAAUAGCAAGCACUGGAAGCUCUUUCACUCAUCUCAGAGAGCAUCGCAACUAUCCGAUCCAUUUUAGGAUGGGACACAUCACUCGAAGUAAACUUGUGGAUCGUUCCGCAUACAUCAAUCUUACUAGAGCCGAUAGUCUUUCGAACCCCUUUAUCUCGCAUAGACAACCUCACCUUUGCAACAUCAUUCCACCGUCCUGCCGAAGCGUACAUGUUCGAUAGAAGAAUACGAGCGCCACUUUUCUCUGGAGCCGACUCUAGAACUUUCUUUGUUGCAUAUUCUGCCAUUUCAAUGUCACGGUGAAUGCGGCUAGAAGCUAAUAGUGCCCUCCAUAUUACAUCAUUAGGCUCCAUCGGCAUGCUCUCAAUGAGAGCUUGUGCUUCCGCUAAUAGACCAGCACGACUAAGGAGAUCAACCAAGCAACCGUAAUGGACUAUUUGCGGGGUGAAGCCAUAAGUGUUGCUCAUUGAAUGGAAAAACGUGCAACCCUCUUCGACUGACCCCGCAUGGCUGUACGCUGUCAGUACCCCAACAAACGCCAAGCCAUCAGGUUUCACACCGUGAUUGAUCAUUUCUGAGAAAAGCUUAAAAGCUUGAUUACCAUUACCCUCGAAAGCCAUUGCCCCAAUCGCGGCAGUCCAAGCUGCAACAUCUUUAAUAGGCAUCCUGCCGAACACAUGCAUCGCGCUUCGUGAAUCACCACAUCUAGAAAACAUGUCGACCAACGCGGUUCCUAGUCUAACAUUGCGUGAGAUUCGUUUCUUUUGUGUAUAGGUGUACACCCACUUGGCGAGAUCAAGAGAACCGAGAUACCCACAUGCUGAAGCUACGCUAACCAAUGUAGCCGUAUCAGGUUUUAGUUCUGAAUCUUGCAUUUUCCUGAAAAGCUCAACAGCUUCCUCAAGUUGACUGUCCUGUACUAGAGCACAAAUCAUUGUAUUCCAAGAAAUAAGAUCUCUUUCAGGCAUCAUGUUAAAAUGCUCCCAAGCGGAGGUGUAAUCACCAUUGAUAACAAAACCAUUUAUAAUGGUGUUCCAAGUUGCCAGAAUCUUGAUACGAAUUAUGUCAAAUACCUUCCUUGCAGCUUUCUCAUUGCGGCAUUUCAUGUACAUGUCUAUGACUGAAUUGUUCACAACAUCCCAACAGUCAAGCCCAUUCCUCAAUAUAUAAGCAUGUAAUUGUUUUCCUACCUGAAUAGCACCUAAUUGUGCAGAUGCGGAGAGUCCAGCAAGCACAGUAACCCUAUCUGGCCGUUGUUUAGAAAGAAGCAUUUCAUUAACGACACAAAGAGCCUCCUUUGCCAUCCCAUUGCGUGCAUAAUUUGAAACCAUUAUGUUCCAAAGAACAAUAUCUCUGUAUUUGCAAUCAUCAAAGAUUUGUCUUGCUUUCUCUGUAGCCCCGCAACUCAUGUACAUAUCGAUGAUUGGAUUGACCAAAGAGCUAGACCCAACACCAGAAUUCGAUAUAUAUGAGCAAAUCUUCUCCCCCUGCAUGAGAUCUUGCAACCGUGCACAAGCCGAAAGCACGCAAGCCAUGGUGACGGAAUUGGGUUCGAUUCGGCCAUCCCUCACCAUAUCAUGAAACAAAGAAAUAGCCUUUUCUGAGCAGUCCCCCUUAGCAUAACCAUCAAUUAGACUAGUCCAUGAGACUACAUUUCUUUGCAGCAUUCCAUCAAACACCCGUUGAGCACAACUCAUUUCCCCACACUCAACAUAGAAGUGGACCAAAGAAUUCUGGAUAAAAAGGUCACCUUGGACUCCUCCCUCUUCUCCUAUCUUGAGUAAAACCCCAUGUAAUUGCUGUCCUUCCUCAAAAGCUAAGAUCUUUGAGCAAACGGUGAGCAGAGGAGGGAAACUAAAGCGAUCGGGAACAACCCCAACACUUACCAUUCCAAUGUAGAGCUUAAGAGCUUCAUCAAGAGAACCAAUAGAGGAGUAACCUCUAAUGAGAGAGUUCCACAAGAAGGGGUCGGCUUCUUCCUCUUCCUCUGCUUCUUCCUCCCGCAAAAGCUCAAAGGCCUUAAUGGCGUAGUGUAAGCUCUCCGAAGUGGGUAUUUUGGAGUACGCGGCGACGAGCUUUGAGACGGAUGAGGGGAGAUAGAGGAGGCCAUUUACGGUCAUGUUGCCAUGGAUUUGGGCGACUUCUUUGAGGUUUGUGCAUAAUUUGAGAGACGCGGUCGGCGCGGAGGCAUCGAUUGGUUCAAUAAAGGAGCGAGCUUUGGGAGAGGGCCUUGGGGUUGUCAAACAGGGGGAGAGAGUGGUGGUCGCCAUAAGUAAAUGAGGUGGAGCUCCACGUUUUAGCUGAUCCACUAAUUAGUCAUCUUCUUCACACCUUAUAGGAGUAGGUGAGGAGCUCGAUGAGAAAAGAUGGGAUGAGGUAAUUCCCAAAACAAAUAGCUGACUUGGAUAAAUCUGCAGAAAAGUUUGCAAAUCGGAAUGAGUAAGGACAAGCACGCAGUGGGUUAAUCCUAAAUCCUGAUUUGAGGCAACAGUUAGAUAUACUAGUCUCAACUUUGAUAUAAACUAUUAAGCUUUUACUUUGGAAAAUAAUCCAAUAACUAGUAGUCUUUGGAUUGAAAGGAGCCUACCUUUAAGACGGAGAAAAAUACAUUCCAAGGUAUCCAUACUUAAACAAUUGUUAAUGGUCAAUCGUGGGUCCAGCGAUGGGUGCCUAGACAUGUAUGAGAAUCAUUGUUCAACAAAGCACCAAUAAGCGAUAAAGCAUUUGUUGAAAACAUGCUGCAAGAAGGACAAUUAACACGCGAUGAUAAAAUACCCAAAAAAUUUUAAAAGCCUAGAUAAUUGCACUUGUGCACUGCAUCAGCAGAAAAAGACAAAAAAGAAAAAGAAAACGAAAAAGAAAACAGAGAAAAUAGUUCACCAUUUGCUAGCAUAUUUUGGAAAACCAAUCAUGACAAGCCAAUAUGUGAAAACAUGUGAAACUUCCAAACUUAUUAGCAAGUUUUGAAAAACCAAUCAUGACAACCCAAUAGAUUGUUGUCUAGUCUGGUUCCUAUUGGCCACGGCUCGCUGACGAGGUGGUUUCAAAGUCUCUGCCUUAAUCAUCAAUUGGUGAAUCUUUCUCUUCGCUUUGUCCAUAUUCUUCCUUUCAAGUGCCCCCAUUAGCAUAUUGUAUGUAUUGUCGUUGGGAAUCAAACCCCUCAAUACCAUCUGCUCGAAAAAUAGGCACGACCGCUCUAACUUACCGUUUCGACAAAGCCCGUUAACUAAUAGAGUAUAGGUGCUAAAGUCAGGGCUGAUAUCUUUCCUAAGCAUAUGACCUAAUAAAAAAUAUAGUAUCUUCACCCAUUGCCUUUUACAACACAGUUUCAAUAAGGGCGUAUAAGUCUUUACGUCCGGCUUGCACGAGGUCUCUUCCAUUUUAACCAGCAACUUUAGGGCAUUCUCCUCCUGAGAAUGAUCACAGAAAGCUGAAAUCAAUGUAUUAAAUGUAUUCACAUUUGGAGAUAUCCCACUUCCGCACAUCUCCUCAAAUAUAUUAUUGGCAUCUCGUAACCAUCCAGCUCUACCGAGUAUAUAGAUUAAAGAGUUGUAGAACGAAGUGUCUGGAAUACAACCAUCCUUCUUCAUUUUAUCAAAAAUUUCGAGAGCUUCUUGGGUUUUCUUUGCCUUCCCCAAUGAAUGCAUUACAAUAGUGUAAGUAACAACAUUUGGAUUACAACCUUGGGCAUGCAUCUCAUCAAGAACUGCAUCGACCAUUGUGAAAUUCUUGUCCAAGCAAUAUGCUUCAAUUAGACUAGUGUAAGUUAUAACACACGGAUAAAAACCAAAUUGUCGCAUUUCCUUCAUAGUUUCUCGAGCCUCUUCUAGCUUUUGAGCUUUGCACCACCCAUGGACCAAAGUAUUAAAACUACUGGCGUCGGGUGGUAUCUCACUCCUUAGCUCCAGAAAGGCAUCUCUUGCACGCCUCACACUCCUCUCCUUACACAGGGUAUCCAAUAGCACAUUCAUGGCUUGGGUAUCUUUCUCAACUCCGAAAUGCUCGAAGCCGUUAAACGCAUUUAUCGCCUCACUCCACCUUCCGGCGCCGGCAAGUCUUCUCAUGACCUUUGUCAUAGUUGCUAGAGACACUAAACCCCCGAGUCGAACCAUCUCCUCGAUCAAUCCCCACAUAGUAUCAAAUUGCUUAAAUUUACCUAAAAUGUCGACCAUCACGUCGUAAGUAUCAGCCGAGUGCAUAUAGUAAUUUCUCUGGGUACCAGCCCACAUGAAGAAACCAAAAGCAGGAACCCAAUCAUUAUUAAACCUCUGCAAUAUCUUAUCAACCAAGGGCUUAGAGAUCCUGAUAGAGCACCCAUCAUCGAUAGCUAUAAGCACUGCCUCAGGAGACGAGAAAUUAGAGUUUAAAAUGCGACUAAUUUGCUCAACAUCCACCUCAAAAUCGGUGAUAUCACGAGAAACAGCCCUAAAAGAAACCUUCAAAGAGUUGGGGGGUUUCGAACUGUUAAUGCUAUAGUCUGAGAAUUUGACUUCGGGUGGGAGAACAAACUCAUCAUCUGAACCGACAUAAGACGGAUCAUCCUCUGGGUACAUAAACCAAUCGGGGAGCUCCAGCGAUUCCUGUGAUUCGACUAGAUUACAGAAUCCACUUGAAAUGCUGGAAAGGGCCCCAUUUUUUCGACUUCUUGAUGCCAAAAACAGCGGCGCCGCUGCAAGGAUGCUUCGGCAACCUCUCAUGCUUCCAAAACCCAGAUGCCAAUAAUUGCAGCAAAUUUGUAUAUUUGACAACCAAAUCAACGAAAUUAAACAGUAUACGUGGUCGAAUUUUGCAAGAUGCAUGUAACAACCCUGAAGAAUAAAUGGUAGAAGUAGUAGUUAACAGAGGGAGUUAGCAAAAAUGUCAACUUUACACAGUAGAGCAGAGAUAAGCGGCUGCAGCAGUUGAAGAAGGGCGAGCUUGGCGGAACGAUUCGACGAGGGUUGUUCGGGUGGAACUCCGGCGGAAUAACGGGGCUAGGGCAUCCUCGGAGCGGAGAGAGCGGAGGAAGGAUCGAGGGGGUAGGAAGGCUCCAACAGAAUCUACGUAUUCCGGGAAGAAGGAAGUACUCAAGCCCCUGCGGGUCGAAGCUUCAGGAUCUCGGAGCUGAGGCAAAAGGCGGACCCACUACCCGUCCCUUGGCGGAGCGGACGGGAGGGCGACCCGACAUCCACCGCCCGACCGCAGAGCCGCGGGUAGGAUGGUCGAAUCUUCGGAGCGGAGCCAAAAGGCGGACCCGCUACCCGUCCCUGGCGGAGCGGACAGGAGGGGCGACCCGACAUCCGCAGCCCGACCGCAAUCACUCUCUCUCUCCGGGCCUGUCAACCCAUCCGAGGCCCAUAACCCGUUCGCAUAUCGACCCACCGGGCCCGCCUUCUUAUUAACAAAUUGCUGUUAAGCACUUGUAGGAUAGUUUAAUUUCAUUUCGGUACAAAUUGUUGAGACUAUAUAUACCUAAAGGUGUCUAUGGAUCGGGUCGGGACUNAUUUGGAAGCAAUUCCUUUUCAUUUUGACAUUAUUUGAGCCGAAUUAGAAAUAGAAUCGGCUCCAAUUCCAAUACAUGGCCGUUUUGCACUACCACUUCGCACUGAGCUCUUCAAAACCCUUUGAAAACACACCCUUGGCUUUUCCAAAACUUCACAAUUGAUUCGGAGAUACUACAAUGUAUCCUUCCGCCUUACUUUAAUUCUUUUAAUCAAAGUUAGGGUCGGAAAUCCGAAAUUCUCUUUACUCUCUUUACAUUUCGUUUCGCGCCCAAUUUGCGCCGACACACUUAUUUCUCUUUGGAACUCAUUCCAACGCAUCACAAAUCCCUCGG
This 25928-nucleotide long non-coding RNA is filed under the name Ananas comosus (pineapple). RNAcentral's name for it is "long non-coding RNA (ACOM_LNC000839)". Lineage: Eukaryota; Viridiplantae; Streptophyta; Magnoliopsida; Poales; Bromeliaceae. The record is from RNAcentral.